CUCAGGGUUUCCUGCUGGCCUACAUAUUCAAUAAAUGAACCACCCUUUGCAUUGGCUUGCUUGUUACUGGAAUUACUCUCAGCAAAAAUGUUCAGUUUUUAUGUGUAGGCAAGCUGUGUACUAGGGAGAGAUGAGAAAAGUAUCAUCAUUAAGAUAAGAAAAAAGGGCAAAGCCAAGGAGGUAAGGAGAGUUUGCUGUGAGGAAGUGAGACUGCCAACAUCUGAAAGAAAUCCUUGCCAGUAAAGAUGAUGAGGAAAUAGAGAUCUAGCAAGGAAACUGCUAAAAGAGAGGGGCUGAAGGACUUUGUAGAGAUAGGAGACCAAGGCUGGAGAAUGGAAAAUAAAAUUUCCCAUGUGUUGUGGCAGGACAUGACAGCAAGUCACUGAACAAUUCCAACUGGAGAUAACCUCAAGUCAGUCACUAACCCUGGGGUCUGGAGCUUUUUGGAUACAUUUGGUGUCAUUGUCAUAGCUGUGGGAUCCACAGCCUUGUCUCUGUGUUAUCUAAAUUUCUGGAUAAAGACUAAAAGUGAGUUUGAACUGUCUACAGGAAAGAACAGCCUCAGAUAAUUCCCAGGACUGUUUUCCUUGUAACACCCUGCUCUGAGAGAGAUCUCUCAUGCAAAUCAGGGGAACUCCAUUUUGAACUGCUGAUUAAAUAUUACAAACUGCUUCUAGAGGCUUCAUAUCCAAGAUCUGGAAAUAACCACUGCUCCUGUAUGUACCUUUAUGCCCUUUGAAU
RNAcentral lists this long non-coding RNA (741 nucleotides) under Numida meleagris (helmeted guineafowl). RNAcentral describes it as "lncRNA (ENSNMEG00000009454.1)". The record is from RNAcentral. Lineage: Eukaryota; Metazoa; Chordata; Aves; Galliformes; Numididae.